AUGGCUCUUACAAAGCAGACUGCUUGCAAAUCCACUGGUGGUAACGCACCCAGGAAACAACUGGCUACAAAAGCCUCUCAGAAGAAUGCGCCCUCUACUGGAGGAGUGAAGAAACCUCAUCGUUACAGGCCUGAUACCUUGGCACUUGCUAUCAAAGUCCACUGAACUUCUGAUUUGCAAGAUUCCCUUUCAGCGUCUGGUGUGAGAAAUUGCUCAGGACUUCAAAACAGAUCUGCGCUUCCAGAGUGCAGCUAUUGGUGCUUUGCAGGAGGCAAGUGGUUGGCCUUUUUGAAGAUACCAAUCUGUGUGCUAUCCAUGCCAAAUGUGUAACAAUUAUGCCAAAAGAUAUCCAGCUAGCACGCCGCAUACGCGGAGAACGUGCUUAA
This 386-nucleotide long non-coding RNA is filed under the name Mus musculus (house mouse). RNAcentral's name for it is "long non-coding RNA chr2:119669158-119669544". The record is from RNAcentral. Lineage: Eukaryota; Metazoa; Chordata; Mammalia; Rodentia; Muridae.